ACUACUUUGUUGUUCUUCACAAUUAGUUGGAGCUUUCUUUGGUCAACAGCAGAUGUGACUAAGAAAAUCACGCUGUUUCACUUAGAGCAGUGGUCACCAAGUGUGGUCCUUAGGCCACACAGGUCAGCAUCACCUAGGAACUAGGAAAUGCAAGUUCUUAAGCAAUCCCACCCAGACCUACUGAAUUGGAAGUGCUGAGGAUGGGGUCCAGCAAUCUGUGGUUGAACAAGCUCUGCAGAGCUUUGCAGAACAGAUCACCAUAACAACCACCAUCCUGGGAGACAGCAAAAGAACAGAGAGAAACAUCCUUUUUAUUUGCCUGAAAAUCAAGGGACAGCAGGGAAACGGGUCUUUUCAUCAAAGCUUGUUUUGGUGUCUCCCAAGUUGGAGGGUCCAUGUGCCAAGGGACGGCAGUGGAAGAAGUCAACAUGUUUAACAGACUACACCCAAUAUGUGUGAUUUUUAGGGAUCAGGCAUCCAGGAGCAGAGCUGUGGGGCAGCAGAAUCUGUGAUGACAGAGAAUGAUGAUGUAUUUUUGCCAGCAGAUGCUUUUGCUCCUGUUUUGAUACCCCAAUAUUCGGAUGCAGAAAAGGACUCUGAGCAUUGCUGACGGGUGUGCUCUGCACACCUAUCUCUUCAGGAUCUGAAUAAUUUGGUGGAAAGACAAUGCCUUUUCUGGAAAAGGGUGUCAGGAGUUACCUUUCAUGGAAGGGUAAGCAGGAAGCAACUACAAGAUCAUCAUUUCAAAACAAUAUGAAAGCAGAAUGGGAAAUGCCAUGGCAUGCUCCCUCUUUUCAGUCUCCACAAAGAACAAUGUUCUUCCCAACCUGCCAAGACAGCCAAAUAACAAAAGAAAUACCCGUGGAGCCCACCUGAAGUGCACAGAUCUGGGGACAUUGGGAGGAACAGAGGUAGCUUAGUGACUCUACUGUCCCUACCACCCAACCUGCUAUUAGCCCUGCUGGUCCGCUCGUGUUUGAGGUCAUGAGUCAGGUUCAAAUAGCCAUGACUGGCAGAAGAUGUCAAUCACAUUUCAUUUCCAUUUUCACUUUGCUGUUUACAUUCUUUAAAUUAAUGCUUGCCCCAAUGAUUGUGAUAUUUAAAGACCAGCCUAGAAUCUAAUUGUGUAUAUGUGAAACUGUUUUCUAAACCAUAAGAUGUUAUAUAAAUACAAACCACUAUUAUUAUUAACAUUAUUACUAUUGGCUCAUCCGGAAAUACCAUAUCUUCCAUUGAGCCAAUGGUGUCAAGAGCCCCCUAGAAUUCUAAUAUAUAUUCCAGAUGGGUGCACUGAUAAUUUCUUUCAAACUCAGAUAAAGGUAAAAUGCAUGGGUUUUUAGUGCAAGCCAGGUGCCCGACGAAGAAUAUUCUGCCAGAACACUUUAGAAAUACAGUAUGCUUUUAACCUUGGGAGGUAAGGACCAGUGUGGAUUAUGACUUUACACUAAACACAGCAUUUAGUAUAUUUCUUAAGGGCAUAAUCACCUUCUAUAGAUGUUCUUGAACUAUAAAAUCUUUAUCUGUAUGCUAUCAUAAUUUAUCCUCGGACACAUCCUGUGCAAUAUUUUAUAAUGCUAGUGUAUGGUGGGCCUUUCUGGUCAAUGCAUUGGAGAACAAGGUGUGGAGUGCAACAGAAGGGCUGGAAGCGGCUUGGGGAUGCUCUGGCCUCACCCUCUUUUGCGUCAUAGCUGCACUCAUACGCAGACCCUGACCCAGGACCCAGGUCGGCUGACUUCUAAUUCAGAUCAUUUGCUGCCAGAAUUCUGCCUGUGAGUGAGAACAGCAUGAGGAUAUGAGCUUCUUGAGUCAGUCCACCUGCCCAAGUCCCAGCUCUGACCCUCUUUAGAGCUCUGAUCUCAGACCAGUUACUCCAUACCUCAAUGUCCUACGAUCUACUGUGAUCCCUACUGGACCAAGGACACCAAAUUUCGGAGAUGCUUUGGGAUUAUGUGACAUAACCAGGGGGCUGCAGGCUGACAGCCUGAGGACCAACUACUGUCCCCAGUGUGCUGAGCUUGGCACCACCCUGCUGAUACACAGGAUUUCACAUGUGGGACAAUCUUUAAGUCUGAAGAUUGUCCAUACAAAUAUGGAUUUCUAACUUCUAAUUAAAAAUCUUGUA
Molecule: long non-coding RNA, 2122 nt
Filed under: Homo sapiens (human)
Lineage: Eukaryota; Metazoa; Chordata; Mammalia; Primates; Hominidae
Description: PREDICTED lncRNA (TCONS_00027620)
Source: RNAcentral